AUGGGAAGUUAACUGGCUUAGACCAAACUUUUUAGAGCAAGAAUCCUCAGACUUUUUGUUGUUUCCUCAUACCAGGUCAUUGCCUCAAGCUGCGCGGAUAGAAGGGGCACAUUUGUGUCUUUGACUCCCUUUUCACCCACCACACAGGAGGUGAAGGUUGGAUCAGAGCUCUGAUUGGUCUGCCAUACAUUCAGACACUUCAGGUAAAGAGAGAAAAAUUGCCUACUGUAGUGCCACUUCAGUAACUUGACCGGGUCCGGCCUUCGCUCUGCGUGCAUUGAAUGAGUUUGGCAGCAGCUGGGCUCCCAUUGAUGAUGAGUUGGAGAGAGGACGGUAGAGAAAGACGCCCCUGAUUCUGCAUGAGGAGAGCACAUUUGAAAAGCUUUUAUGACCUGGUUACUGCGUCACAUCAACUGCUAGAAGAACGUACACAAAAAAUAAGGCUGAACCCGGCUGAUCUGUUCAAUCACCCAGGAGCGCUGAGGCAGGACCCUGUAAAAGGAGUUCGGACUGAAAGAUCACACGUUUGGAAAAAUCUGACUUGCAGCCAGGAGACGGAGUUGACUCAUCAUGAUCAGAUUAAGUGAAAAUACUCAAAGCUGAGGCCGAUGUCGGGGCGGAGCAAAGACCUAACAGAGGUACUGGAUGCCUGCACGUCUCGUGGACCCUCACUGCUGGAGCUGUUGCAUAACAUGAAAGUCUUUAAGAACUGCAUUCUGCAGACUGCUACAGAGCAACAAGACUUUAACACACAAUUCAGGGUAAAGAAGGCCAAAGAUGGCUUAGUGGUUCCUGGCUUUGUAACUACAUUGCUUGCCUGAGUGAAAGAAAGGCUACCCAAAAGAGAAAAAGACGGAGAAGGAUAAAACAGCACUAGCUUACCUCUAGGUUCCUCCCAAAAUUGCUAUGGGUUGCCAAAAUUAGAUGUUCCCAUACAUCUAAACUGCAUUCUCAAUUGCAUUUUGAGGGAAAAGAAUAUUCUCCGCCGGAUUAUGUUUGUUUCAACACGUCCUUGUACCAGCGACAGGCGCACAGUGUGAAACGUUCAUAGUUUUAAACACGUGCUUAGCAUUGUGAAUUGAAACAAAAUAACUUAGGUUAGGUUAAGGAAAAGAUCAUGGUUACUCAAAAGUAACUGUAAGGCGUGGUUUCUAUUACUUGAAAUUGUAUUGACAGCUAUUGCUUUUCAUCACUAUUAUUGUCCUUAACCUUUGACGUCCAACAUGUAUAACUUUAUCAGAUGGAUUAACAGUUUUUACAUUUUACCUCAGUCUGAAGUUAACCUGACUCCGCCAGAUGGAUUGCUUCAC
Molecule: long non-coding RNA, 1310 nt
Organism: Perca flavescens (yellow perch)
Lineage: Eukaryota; Metazoa; Chordata; Actinopteri; Perciformes; Percidae
Exons: 5
Source: RefSeq, a predicted model, not a curated record